Molecule: long non-coding RNA, 447 nt
Filed under: Rattus norvegicus (Norway rat)
Lineage: Eukaryota; Metazoa; Chordata; Mammalia; Rodentia; Muridae
Description: long non-coding RNA NONRATT011719
Source: RNAcentral
GUGCUGUCGCAUAUUUAAUGAAGGGAUUAAACAACAGGUAUUUAAGGGAUGGGUGGGCCACUCUGGGCUUUGCUACAUCCUGUGUCUCUGUGAAUAGCUCUCUUGGGCCUCGUGGGAUCCAGGUGGCUGCAGCAUGGAUCUGAACUGCACUGGUGGCCUACUGGAAAAAGAAGCCCGGAGAAGGAGGAUUAUUCUAAACCAGAGUCAAAAGGACACCCUUCGUGUGUGGUUUGAAAAGAAUCCCAAUCCUGACUUAGCUACCAGGGGACAUCUGGCUAAGAAACUCGGCAUCUCUGAGUCUCAAAUAAUGACUUGGUUUCAGAAGCACAGAAAAAUACGGAAACAAGUAGAGUUUGAAUGUUGCUCUGAAGAAAGCCAAGAGCAAGGACAGGAUAAACCCAGAGUUAAAGAAGCUGGGAGGAGCAGGACGCAUUUCACAAAGUUUCA